AACGAACGCUGGCGGCAUGCCUAACACAUGCAAGUCGAACGAGACCUUCGGGUCUAGUGGCGCACGGGUGCGUAACGCGUGGGAACCUGCCCUUAGGUUCGGAAUAACUCCCCGAAAGGGGUGCUAAUACCGGAUAAUGUCUUCGGACCAAAGAUUUAUCGCCUUUGGAUGGGCCCGCGUUGGAUUAGCUAGUUGGUAGGGUAAACGCCUACCAAGGCGACGAUCCAUAGCUGGUCUGAGAGGAUGAUCAGCCACACUGGGACUGAGACACGGCCCAGACUCCUACGGGAGGCAGCAGUGGGGAAUAUUGGACUAUGGGCGAAAGCCUGAUCCAGCAAUGCCGCGUGAGUGAUGAAGGCCUUAGGGUUGUAAAGCUCUUUUACCCGGGAUGAUAAUGACAGUACCGGGAGAAUAAGCUCCGGCUAACUCCGUG
RNAcentral lists this ribosomal RNA (433 nucleotides) under uncultured bacterium. RNAcentral describes it as "partial 16S ribosomal RNA". It matches the Rfam family "Bacterial small subunit ribosomal RNA", at positions 29 to 507 of the family's 1533-position model. The record is from RNAcentral.